UUGUAAAAAAAGAUAUUUAAUAAUAAAAAAUUAAAUGAGAUCAUUAAAUUUAAAUAAUUUGGCGGUAUUUUAAAUAGUUAGAGGAAUUUGUUAAUUAAAUGAUAAUCCACGAGUAGAAUGACCUAAGUAUAUUUUUAUGUAUUGUUGUAUAAAAAUUAUUUUAUAAGAAUUAUAAUUGAAAAAUUAAAUUUAGUUUGAAUUCAAAUCAAAAUGUAGAAUUAUUAGGUUUUAAUGAAUUACAAUUUAAGAUAAUAUUAAAAUUAUUUUUUUAAUUAGAAUAAUGAAAAAGGAUUUAAAAGUAAAUUUGAAGAAAUAUUUAAAUUGAAAUAUUAAUUAAAAUAUG
Molecule: ribosomal RNA, 343 nt
Filed under: Pheidole fissiceps
Lineage: Eukaryota; Metazoa; Arthropoda; Insecta; Hymenoptera; Formicidae
Description: partial 12S ribosomal RNA
Source: RNAcentral